AAGGCAGAUUAUAAAUUCAAGAAUUGUAAUAACUGUAGUUUGAUAGCCAUUCCUGCCUAUAAUUUAUUUAUAUAUUUUAUUUUGCUUACACGAGAUUUUAAAAUCCCAAAGUGAAAAGACAAAUCACUUUAAAUAGCCAGUGAUUUGCUAAGGCUCUAUAGUUUCAGGAGUCCCAUUAACUGAAAUGCUCCAGACACUCUGGAGAACAGUAGGGAAUGAUUUUAAAGAUAGAAUCCCUAACAUCUUGUAACUGCUCCUGUUCCUUAAUAACUGCGCUGGUUGGGAGUGACUCCGUUCCAGAGUCCUGAAGAGUGGAUUUCAAGAUAAAUUUGGUCCUGAUCAUCCUUCCUUUCUACACAGCCUUAGACAAGAGGUCAGAAGAGGGCUUCGGAUCCACUGGCGCUGAACUGAUACAUGCUUCUGAGCCUUGAUAUGGGCGCUGGGAACUGAACCUGGGUCCUCUACAAGAACAAUGGACUUUAAGGAAGGAUCUGAACGCCAGCCAGUGCCGCAUGAUGCUCCUGAGAUCUUCCAUUCUUCCAAGAACAACCAUAGCAUAUACAAGACAGCACACCACCGUCGCCACCGCCAGUGCCGCUGUACUGGUGGGAUACAUACACUUUCCAGCUUGUGAAUCGGGAGGCACACUUUCAAACAAAAACACUCUGUACAGCCUCAAGAGAAGGCUGCCUGCAACUGCUAGAGGUGGAGACACCACACAUGCUAUCGCAGUCCUUGGGUAAUAACUGUGUGUCAUAAAUAGGAUGUGGCAUUUCAGAAUGUCUUUAAAGCUAUUUCCUUUUGUUCAACUAAUUUAAUUUACCAAAUGCUCCUGGGGAAAGGGAGGGGGAUCAAGAUGCUGACUCCACAUUUCCUGGGGGGGGGGGGGGAGAAUCACCAU
Mus musculus (house mouse) is the source of this 901-nucleotide long non-coding RNA. RefSeq annotates it as predicted gene, 39358. Lineage: Eukaryota; Metazoa; Chordata; Mammalia; Rodentia; Muridae. The record is from RefSeq and is a predicted model, not a curated record. The transcript has 3 exons.